RNAcentral lists this transfer RNA (69 nucleotides) under Vibrio crassostreae. RNAcentral's name for it is "tRNA-Asp". It matches the Rfam family "tRNA". Rfam says of the family: Transfer RNA (tRNA) molecules are approximately 80 nucleotides in length. Their secondary structure includes four short double-helical elements and three loops (D, anti-codon, and T loops). The record is from RNAcentral. Lineage: Bacteria; Pseudomonadati; Pseudomonadota; Gammaproteobacteria; Vibrionales; Vibrionaceae. RNAcentral also lists the same sequence under 3 other names.
AGUGGUAGUUCAGUUGGUUAGAAUACCGGCCUGUCACGCCGGGGGUCGCGGGUUCGAGUCCCGUCCACU